GUUCAGUAUCCUCACAAUCUCUGAACAAAAUAUCUAAACACUUAAAAAUAUCUAAACACUUGUUGCCAUGUGGUGGAAACUCUUCUUGAAAUUAUUUGGAGAAGGGACAUCAUCCUCUGUUCUUGCAGAAGAUAGCAAAGUUUUAAGGAUUGGAUGGUUCUGAAACUCUCCAAGCAUCUUACUCACACCAAUACGAUUGAUCUUAUGCCUAAAGCCAUCAUUUUUGCUUGAAGGGCUUAUCCAUUUUGAUCGGUCGUUAAAUAUGUAUCUAGUGGAGAGAAAAGGAGGUGCCAUAGCUUGUAUGAUAUUAGCCUUACUAUCUCUAGGGACUUGGCCAGCAAUUCUUACACUAUUAGAGAGACGUGGUCGUCUUCCUCAACACACUUAUCUUGAUUACUCCAUCACUAAUUUGUUGGGAAUGUCCUAAAAUCAUUUGUAUAGUCAAGGUUCGAAAGUCGAAUAAUAUUAGAUAAUCAUAAUGUUUUGCUAGAAACCUCUUAUGAUCAA
This is a long non-coding RNA of Camelina sativa (false flax), 507 nucleotides long. RefSeq lists it as uncharacterized. NCBI's taxonomy places the organism in Eukaryota, Viridiplantae, Streptophyta, Magnoliopsida, Brassicales, Brassicaceae. The record is from RefSeq and is a predicted model, not a curated record.